Molecule: long non-coding RNA, 955 nt
Organism: Nerophis ophidion (straightnose pipefish)
Lineage: Eukaryota; Metazoa; Chordata; Actinopteri; Syngnathiformes; Syngnathidae
Exons: 2
Source: RefSeq, a predicted model, not a curated record
CGCGGCGGGUGCACGACAGACCUUUGCUGGCUAUGUAAACAACCGGGCUGAAAUAUGUUCUAGUCCUAAAUGCCCAGAGUAUUAUUUAUACAAAAACAUUCAUGCAGCGGUGGGACAAAGAGAUCACCCACGGAGCAGAACGAGAGGGGGAGUUGUCCGAGGGUAAUUCUGUCGUCGCCCGCACCCGAGCUAACUGAUAGCAGCGGUCUCAUAGAAGUUUUCUAAAUUAGAUUUUUAGUCAUUGCAGGAGGUAAUAAAGGAAGAUCUCCAUCGAGACAGAGAGACUUUAAAACUGAAGAAAGAUAAGGAAGACUUCUAUAAACAAGUUAUCGAUGCUUUUGAUCAGAAGGAGCUGGCAUGGAUUUCAUUUAUAAGUAAAGUGUUCCAUGCCAUCGUCUGCUGGGGUGGAAAGAUCAUGGCCAGAGACAGGAGCAGACCCAACAAAGCAACCAAGAGAGCAGACUCCACUCUCGGUUGCCAACCAACUCUCGGCCAGUGUCCAGUCCGCAUGGAUGAGCGAGGAUACGUCCAAGGAGACAGAGGUGUCCGAUACCUGCUCAUUCAGCCAAGACACUGUGAAACUUGUCCAUCCCGGCGCUCAGUGCCUCCUCCGCAGCUCUGUCUCUUCUUCUGCAUCUCCAUCCAUGUACAAGGGAUGUGUACUAUGGCUUUGAGUUGUUGUUUUUUCCCUUGGCCUCAGUCUGGACCCCCUCUCCAGUGGCCCAGGCUUAGACCAAUGUUUUUAUUUUAUUUUAUUUUAAUCCUUAAUGUUUUUUCUCCCAUUCCCCCCCACUUGUUUACCUGUAUCUCACCUUUUUUGUAAGGGGCGCCGGAAGUUGGCAGACCCGUCAGCGAUCCUGUUCUGUCUCCCUGUAAUGUUUGUCUCAACUUUAAUGGGAUUGUGCUGAACAUUUUAAUUUCCCCUCGGGGAUUAAUAAAGUAUGUUUGAUUCUGA